AUGAAUGCAAGGAUGCUCUUUUUAGAGGUCCGACCCAUUUUUUAUUACCACACUGUGAACCAACUACUUUUUACACCUUUUUUAUACUCUUAAAAGUUUAAAGAAUGUUAUUAAGUCUCUUAAUUGAGCAUAAAAGUUAUUA
This 142-nucleotide unclassified non-coding RNA is filed under the name uncultured Basidiomycota. Its description in RNAcentral is "sequence contains ITS1". Lineage: Eukaryota; Fungi; Basidiomycota. The record is from RNAcentral.